Molecule: non-coding RNA, 241 nt
Organism: Pelodiscus sinensis (Chinese soft-shelled turtle)
Lineage: Eukaryota; Metazoa; Chordata; Testudines; Trionychidae
Source: RefSeq, a predicted model, not a curated record
GUGGUAGCCUUUGGCCAAAGCUGCUACUGCAUCCCUGUAGAGCUGCAAAUUUCUGCAAGUCUUCUCACUUUGAGUUGGUGUGGAGGAGGAAAAGCACAAAGGAGCUUUGGAGCUCUAUAAUCUAAAGAAUCAUACAAGAUCUUCCUGUCAAAGAAAGAUUGCAAGCAUGGACACACAAUCAAGCCACAACGAAGAACUUCAUUGAUUUCAUCUCAGUGUAUCCAAAUCACUGGAGCUUCGG